AACGAACGCUGGCGGCAUGCCUAACACAUGCAAGUCGAACGAGACCUUCGGGUCUAGUGGCGCACGGGUGCGUAACGCGUGGGAACCUGCCCUUAGGUUCGGAAUAACUCCCCGAAAGGGGUGCUAAUACCGGAUAAUGUCUUCGGACCAAAGAUUUGUCGCCUUUGGAUGGGCCCGCGUUGGAUUAGCUAGUUGGUAGGGUAAAAGCCGACCAAGGCCACGAUCCAUAGCUGGUCUGAGAGGAUGAUCAGCCACACUGGGACUGAGACACGGCCCAGACUCCUACGGGAGGCAGCAGUGGGGAAUAUUGGACAAUGGGCGAAAGCCUGAUCCAGCAAUGCCGCGUGAGUGAUGAAGGCCUUAGGGUUGUAAAGCUCUUUUACCCGGGAUGAUAAUGACGGUACCGGGAGAAUAAGCUCCGGCUAACUACGUG
This 433-nucleotide ribosomal RNA is filed under the name uncultured bacterium. Its description in RNAcentral is "partial 16S ribosomal RNA". It matches the Rfam family "Bacterial small subunit ribosomal RNA", at positions 29 to 507 of the family's 1533-position model. The record is from RNAcentral.